GCGGGUGGGUCUACAUCGGACCUGCGUGACAGAGUUGCACGGUUGGAAGCGCUAAUCGGCGUAACUGAUGAUACGUUAGACUUGGCAGAUCUAAUUACAGAGAUCUACCGACUGAAGGACGGGGCAGAUCAGUUCCGCGAUGGGAUCCAACAAACGUGUGAGGCAACAAACAGUAUAGUUGAAGAUCUAAAGAAGGAGGUCGACGACUUGAAGGCUGAGAUCGCUAUUCUUCGAAGGGCGUUGGCUGCUCCAAGCCAAGCUAGUGAAGAACGCUCG
RNAcentral lists this long non-coding RNA (276 nucleotides) under Nicotiana benthamiana. RNAcentral describes it as "long non-coding RNA (NBEN_LNC028562)". The record is from RNAcentral. Lineage: Eukaryota; Viridiplantae; Streptophyta; Magnoliopsida; Solanales; Solanaceae.